This 400-nucleotide ribosomal RNA is filed under the name uncultured bacterium. RNAcentral's name for it is "bacterial SSU rRNA". It matches the Rfam family "Bacterial small subunit ribosomal RNA", at positions 355 to 752 of the family's 1533-position model. The record is from RNAcentral.
UGGGGAAUAUUGGACAAUGGGCGAAAGCCUGAUCCAGCAAUGCCGCGUGAGUGAUGAAGGCCUUCGGGUUGUAAAGCUCUGUCGGGAGGGAAGAACGAGUCGGUUAACACCCGACUGUGACGGUACCUCCAAAGGAAGCACCGGCUAACUCUGUGCCAGCAGCCGCGGUAAUACAGAGGGUGCAAGCGUUGUUCGGAAUUACUGGGCGUAAAGCGCGUGUAGGUGGCAUCAUAAGUCGGAUGUGAAAUCCCUCAGCUCAACUGAGGACGUGCAUUCGAUACUGUGACGCUUGAGUACCGGAGGGGAUGGCGGAAUUCCCGGUGUAGAGGUGAAAUUCGUAGAUAUCGGGAGGAACACCUGUGGCGAAGGCGGCCAUCUGGACGGUCACUGACACUGAGAC